This 470-nucleotide ribosomal RNA is filed under the name uncultured bacterium. RNAcentral's name for it is "SSU rRNA". It matches the Rfam family "Bacterial small subunit ribosomal RNA", at positions 26 to 518 of the family's 1533-position model. The record is from RNAcentral.
AGGAUAAACGCUGGCGGCGUGCCUAACACAUGCAAGUCGAACGUCUCUUUCUUCGGGAAGAGGAGUGGCGGACGGGUGAGGAACACGUGGGAACCUGCCCUUCAGUGAGGAAUACCGGCGAGAAAUCGCCGACAAGACCGCAUAGCCCUCUCUGGUGAGAGCCAGAGAAGGAAAGCCUCGCAAGAGGCGCUGGAGGAGGGGCCUGCGUCCGAUUAGCUAGUUGGUGGGGUAAGAGCCUACCAAGGCGUCGAUCGGUAGCUGGUCUGAGAGGACGAUCAGCCACACUGGGAUUGAGAACGGCCCAGACUCCUACGGGGGGCAGCAGUGAGGAAUUUUCGGCAAUGGGGGAAACCCUGACCGAGCAACGCCGCGUGCAGGAAGACGGCCUUCGGGUUGUAAACUGCUUUCUUUGGGACGAGCAAGGACGGUACCAGAGGAAUCAGCCCGGCUCACUACGUGCCAGCAGCCGC